GGAAGUUUCUCAAAUAAUCCGAAGCUGAACAGUGUAGUCGGGCAUCUUCUCCAUUCGUCCAUCCUAGUUCCGUACAAUGGCUGGAAGAUUAGUCACCGGACGCACCACCAGAACCACGGGCAUGUCGAGAACGACGAGUCGUGGCAUCCUUUGUCGGAGAACUUAUAUAGGAAUUUGGAUUCGAUAACUAAGGGAUUGCGGUUCACGGUCCCUUUCCCUUUGCUAGCUUACCCUUUUUAUCUGUUUUCGAGGAGUCCGGGGAAGAAAGGAUCACACUUUCACCCGAGUAGUGAUCUCUUCCUUCCGAAUGAGAAGAAGGAUGUGAUCACAUCGACCGCAUGCUGGACGGCGAUGGCUGCCCUCCUUGUC
RNAcentral lists this unclassified non-coding RNA (369 nucleotides) under Hevea brasiliensis (rubber tree). The record is from RNAcentral. Lineage: Eukaryota; Viridiplantae; Streptophyta; Magnoliopsida; Malpighiales; Euphorbiaceae.